GUGUCAGCAGCCGCGGUAAGACGUAGGGCGCGAGCGUUGUCCGGAUUUAUUGGGCGUAAAGAGCUCGUAGGCGGCUUGUCGCGUCGGCUGUGAAAUCCCGUGGCUCAACUGCGGGCUUGCAGCCGAUACGGGCAGGCUAGAGUUCGGUAGGGGAGACUGGAAUUCCUGGUGUAGCGGUGAAAUGCGCAGAUAUCAGGAGGAACACCGGUGGCGAAGGCGGGUCUCUGGGCCGAUACUGACGCUGAGGAGCGAAAGCGUGGGGAGCGAACAGGAUUAGAUACCCGCGUAGUCC
This 292-nucleotide ribosomal RNA is filed under the name uncultured bacterium. RNAcentral describes it as "partial 16S ribosomal RNA". It matches the Rfam family "Bacterial small subunit ribosomal RNA", at positions 505 to 796 of the family's 1533-position model. The record is from RNAcentral.